AAAUACCAGAAGUGUCAACGUGCCAUCCCUUAUUAACCCCCCAACUUCGGGAAUCCCGGCAGAAAUAACAUCACUGAGAGCCUUCCUGCAGCGAGGCAUAUGAGCCUGCGCCUCAGGCCCAGAACUGCAGGGGCCUCGGCCCAUUAUUAUUUUUAAUAUUCGAUUAAUUGAAAUGAGAAAGGAAAUUCUAUCUUCCAAUCGUUUUUCCCUCAUUCACCGGUGACUGGGGAAUCGAUUGCUCCCAGAGUCCUUGAGUCCCGCCUCAAACUCCAACCGGACGACGACCAGGCUGGCAGACGAGGUGACGGCGUCAGCCCUCAUUUGAAGUUCAUCUCCUCCUUAGGCGUCUUCUUCUCCAAUCUCCACUCUCUUUCAUAAAUUACACGAGCACUCAUCAAACCACAAAACAAUUUCAACCCUAACGCUCGGCCGGCCCUCACAGCUGCUCGCUCCGUGACCAGUGACCUCCGUCGCUCGAGUUGCCACCCAACACGGUAACAGGCUUUAUGAUAUUUACGGGUCAAUUUUACAGUUUCUCUCUUGGGUUUUUGGUUUUCUGAAUUAUAUUGAAUCUUUAAAGAAAUUCACUUUAUUUAUGAAUCUUGUAUGCCCUUUUUGGAAUUUGUUUAUAUGUGUUUUUGCACGAUUUGUGACAUUCUAAAAUUCAAUCAUUUAUUAGAGUAAUUAAGGUUUGUAUGAUUCUCUUUAUCUUGCAUUUCCUGCAUCCGAAUGAGUUGUUACUUGUAACUUAAUUACCUUAUUUUAAAAAUUUAGAUGGUUGAGGAUUUCAAGUUGUCUUUUUGAUGAAUAACAGUAACAUCACUUGAUUCACUUCUGCGAUUGUGCCUGCUUUAGUUAUCUCUUAAGAGUAUGAUAUGAGCUUGUUAGUUUGAAGUUUGAACCCCUCGCGUCUCUUUGUGCUUUGGGUUUUAAUUUGGUUUUUUGUUCUUUGAACUUUUUUCCCCCUUCCUAUUUAUUUCGUUUAAUGCUAUGCUAUCAAAUAUCAAUUACAAUAAAUUUGUUGAUUAACAAUGCUGUAAAAUGGGAUUUUGUUAAUUUUUACUACCGAAAUUCCAAGUUUCAAAUUUACUACCAAAUUUGAGUAUUUGAUUUAUUAUAUCGAAGUCAUGAUAGUUAUUUGGAAACAUGGAGGAAAGAGGAAAUAAAAACUAGUUGAAUGAAAGAAAGAUAAGAAGUCUGUCUAGAAGCAUAUCUGAUACAUGGAAUGGAGUAGAGUGAUAGAUGCACAUUGAGUUAAAUGUUUAUGCAAUAGAAUUAUAUAUUUGUAAUUGUAUUGGUGUUUGAUAUUAAAUUUUUAUUUCAGGCUUGUGAGUUGUGACGGUGGUCCGUGGAAUUCUCAAGGGCGUGAUUUCAUAAUUUUCGUUGAAAUUCUACUUUUCAGGUAAACAAUGGCUCGCCCUAACAUGUUAUUGAAUAUAUUGGAAAUGUUUGAAAUCUUGUCGGCUUAUAUAAUUGCAGUCUGGUCGGCUUAUAUGAUUGGUUAUCAUAUGAUUAAUUGUACAGACGCACGUAGUAACUAUAUUGAAAACUCUAAUUUUGAGAUAAUUGAGAUAUUUUUAAUUGUCUUUUAGAUUAAUCAUUG
RNAcentral lists this long non-coding RNA (1603 nucleotides) under Olea europaea subsp. europaea. The record is from RNAcentral. Lineage: Eukaryota; Viridiplantae; Streptophyta; Magnoliopsida; Lamiales; Oleaceae.